RNAcentral lists this ribosomal RNA (429 nucleotides) under Bacillota bacterium. RNAcentral describes it as "Firmicutes bacterium partial 16S ribosomal RNA". It matches the Rfam family "Bacterial small subunit ribosomal RNA", at positions 355 to 776 of the family's 1533-position model. The record is from RNAcentral. Lineage: Bacteria; Bacillati; Bacillota.
UGGGGAAUCUUGCGCAAUGCGCGAAAGCGUGACGCAGCAACGCCGCGUGGGGGAAGAAGGCCUUCGGGUUGUAAACCCCUUUCAGUUGGGACGAAGCUUCGCCGGUGAACAGCCGGCUGGAGUGACGGUACCUUCACAAGAAGCCCCGGCUAACUACGUGCCAGCAGCCGCGGUAAUACGUAGGGGGCUAGCGUUGUCCGGAAUCAUUGGGCGUAAAGCGCGUGUAGGCGGCCCGGUAAGUCCGCUGUGAAAGUCGGGGGCUCAACCCUCGGAUGCCGGUGGAUACUGUCGGGCUUGAGUACGGAAGAGGCGAGUGGAAUUCCUGGUGUAGCGGUGAAAUGCGCAGAUAUCAGGAGGAACACCGAUUGCGAAGGCAGCUCGCUGGGACGUUACUGACGCUGAGACGCGAAAGCGUGGGGAGCAAACAGG